Molecule: ribosomal RNA, 460 nt
Filed under: uncultured bacterium
Lineage: Bacteria
Description: partial 16S ribosomal RNA
Rfam family: Bacterial small subunit ribosomal RNA
Source: RNAcentral
CCUACGGGUGGCAGCAGUGAGGAAUAUUGGUCAAUGGACGAGAGUCUGAACCAGCCAAGUAGCGUGAAGGAUGACUGCCCUAUGGGUUGUAAACUUCUUUUAUAUGGGAAUAAAAUGUUCCACGUGUGGGAUUUUGUAUGUACCAUAUGAAUAAGGAUCGGCUAACUCCGUGCCAGCAGCCGCGGUAAUACGGAGGAUCCGAGCGUUAUCCGGAUUUAUUGGGUUUAAAGGGAGCGUAGGUGGAUUGUUAAGUCAGUUGUGAAAGUUUGCGGCUCAACCGUAAAAUUGCAGUUGAAACUGGCAGUCUUGAGUACAGUAGAGGUGGGCGGAAUUCGUGGUGUAGCGGUGAAAUGCUUAGAUAGCACGAAGAACUCCGAUUGCGAAGGCAGUUCACUGAACUGCAACUGACACUGAGGCUCGAAAGUGUGGGUAUCAAACAGGAUUAGAUACCCGGGUAGUC